This 253-nucleotide ribosomal RNA is filed under the name uncultured prokaryote. RNAcentral's name for it is "partial 16S ribosomal RNA". It matches the Rfam family "Bacterial small subunit ribosomal RNA", at positions 525 to 777 of the family's 1533-position model. The record is from RNAcentral.
ACGUAGGGUGCGAGCGUUAAUCGGAAUUACUGGGCGUAAAGCGUGCGCAGGCGGUUUUGUGAGCCAGAUGUGAAAUCCCCGGGCUUAACCUGGGAAUGGCCAUGGAAACUGGCGAACUGGAGUGUGGCAGAGGGGGGUGGAAUUCCGCGUGUAGCAGUGAAAUGCGUAGAGAUGCGGAGGAACACCGAUGGCGAAGGCAGCCCCCUGGGCUAACACUGACGCUCAGGCACGAAAGCGUGGGGAGCAAACAGGA